Hemicordylus capensis (graceful crag lizard) is the source of this 15794-nucleotide long non-coding RNA. RefSeq lists it as uncharacterized. The record is from RefSeq and is a predicted model, not a curated record. The transcript has 6 exons. Lineage: Eukaryota; Metazoa; Chordata; Lepidosauria; Squamata; Cordylidae.
AACUGAAGAAGGCAGAAUCCAGAAGGUUGUGCACGUUAUAUUUCUGUUUGUUAAUCAACAAUAUCUAUAUAGACAAUAUCUAGAUAGGGACCGAACAACAGACCCCAGAGGGACAUGAUGACAUCCUCCCGCCUUUUUUGGCCCACUUUCCUCCUUGGAAGUAGUCUUAUGAGAUCAGCUUGCUGUCCAUGUGUGUCUCUAGUCCAUAAGAACAGCCCUACUAGAUCCGGCACAAGGCCCAUGUGGACCAGCAUCCUGUUUGACACAGUGGCCCACCAGAUGCCUCUGAGGAGCCCACAGGCAAGAGAUUCUAUACGGCCCUUACAAAAAUGGCUCAGGGCGGUUUCCAGAGAAAUAAACAGAUAAGAUGGAUCUCUGUCGCCAAAGGGCUCACAUUCAAAAAAGAAAUCCAGCUCUCCCAGCAACACCCUGCAACAUUGUCCCAUCCCCCAAUACUUUAAUCCUGGGAGUGGAGACCGGAGAUGAUUGAUGGCUCACCUUAUCUCAAUAGCCCAUCCCAGACAUGCCCAUUCUUAUGUAAAGCUCAGUAAGUAAUGUAAAGUGUGCCGUCAGGUCGAUUUCGACUCCUGGCACCCAGAGAGCCCUGUGGUUGUCUUUGGUAGAAUAUGGUAAGGGUUUUCCGUUGCCUCCCCCCACGCAGUAUGAGAUGAUGCCUUUCAGCAUCUUCCUAUAUCGCUGCUGCCUUAUACAGUGCCAGCGGGGAUUCGAACCGGCAACCUUCUGCUGGUUAGUCAAGCAUUUCCCUGCUGCAUCACUUAAGGUGACAUUACACUAACCUUAACCCUAACCGGCUCCCCUUUCCCGCCCUCCACUCACCCUCUACGAAUGGCCGCUGCCCUCAUGGCACUCUUUCCAUCCGAAUCGACUUCUGGCGGUCAUCCAAUCUGUACCAAUAGGUCGACUGUGAGGGGUACGGCAGGGCCUGUCCCCUCAUGGAGGAUAGAUGGCCGUGCCUGUUUGCCUGGUUAGAGGGCCUGAUGCACACGCUGCCUGAGGCAGGACCUAGCUCAUUGACGUCCAUGGCAGUCGGGGACCGGGUGGCGGAAGCUAGCUCUCCGCCGCCAAAGGGGCUGCACAGACGAUCGAAACUGGACUGAGGAAGAGCGGUGAGGAUGGAACGACUAAGGCCACACUUGAACCCAAGCCCUACCCCUGCAUCCCAAUGCUAAAUCUCACUCCAAGCCUCACGUUCAACUCAGGGGGCCCUUUCUAAACCUCAUCCAGCUUCCCAGAACCCUCCUUAGUUAGGAUCAGCUACAAUUCAUUAGCAAGGAGCCUGCCUGGCCUGGACACGGGAUCCCGGCAAUGAACAACACACUCACCAUAACUGGACCCCAACAUCAGUUGUGCUGAGUGCGGAGGGUAUCGGGGAGGGAGUCUCCUUCACUGUGCUCAAGACUUUUUCAGGUGGCUGCAGUGGAGUGUUCAGAAGCGGAGGAUGCAGGCCUCUUCUGGACCGCGGAAGUUUUUUCUUUUCCUGAGAGAACAGCCUCUUGUUGUUCUCUCAGGUUUUGCUUUUAGCCUUGUGGGACUGUACACACCAAAAAAGCAAAAGACACUGGCUGCUGUUGCUCCUGGUUUCUGGGACAGGCUUUGGAAAUUGGAAUCCCUGCGGUGUCCAUGCUAGCUUGCUUGCUUGCUCCCAGGCAGCUGGCCUGUCCUUCUCCACUUCAGAGAUCUGCUGCCUACGUGCCUGUCAGUUGAAGGGACCAGCCAGUGUUCUCUGGAGCAGAGGUUCCCCGAUAUUGUGGACUACAGAUCCCAUCAACCUCAGCUGCAAUGGCCUCUGGUAUCUAUACCGCCCUUCCAAAAAUGGCUCAGGGCGGUUUAAACAGGGAAAUAAGGAAAUAAGACGGAUCUCUGUCACCAAAGGGCUCACAUUCUAAAGAGAAACCCAGCUCAGCUCAAGCUCUGCUGCCUACGUGCCUGUCAGUUGAAGGGGGCCAGCCAGUGUUCUCUGGUGCAGAGGUUCCCCGAUAUUGUGGACUACAGAUCCCAUCAACCUCAGCUGCAAUGGCCUUUGGCUGAGGAGGAUGGGCCCACAGGCAAGAGGUAUGUGCAUGCCCUCUCUCCAGGCUUUUGUACGUCAUUCCUCUCAGUUUUUGCCAGUGAAGUGGUAGUUAGAAGUGCACCACUGGAAAUCUUUCCGUGCUAAAACAUUGUUCUCCAGUAUCUGCAACACAUCCCACUGCUUUGGAUUUCCAGCUAGAGUGUUAGGGGGCCAUUCCAGGCUGUUGCCCGUGGUUCUCCUUCUCCAGCCUAUCAUGGGCAGUGAAGUGGCUAUUAGAAGUACAAGAAUGGAAACACUUCAGUGCCGAAAGACUGUUCUUUGGUAUCCGCAGCACUUCCCACUGUUUUGGGCUUGCAGUUUGAUUUGGGGGUCCCUUCUGGUGUUCCAGGGUCCAUUUUUGACAAUGAAGGGUACACUAUGUUUGACAAAAGUACACUAUUGGAAAUAUUUCUGUGCUGAAAUAUUGUCCUCUAACGUCUCCAGCACAUCCCUCUGUUUUGGGGAUGCAGUGUGACAGUUGGUGGGCGGAGUUUCAGACUGCUUUUCAUCACAAAGGAAUUGUGAUGCAUUCCUGCCUAGCAUUCUGGUUAAGAUAUGUGUUGAUCCCAUUGCUCAGAUGGGCCUUGGGCCUGAUCCAACAGGGAUGGGGAGCCAGCCACGCUCCUCAGCAAUGCUCCCCGAGCAACACCCUGCAACAUUUCCCCUUCCCCCAAUACUUUAAUCUUGGGGGCGGAGACCGGAGAUGAUUGAUGGCUCACCUUAUCUCAUUAGUCCAUCGCAGAUGUAGUAGUAGUAGUAGUAGUAGUAGUAGUAGUAGUUAUUUCAGUUUCUAUACCGCCCUUCCAAAAAUGGCUCAGGGCGGUUUACACAGAGAAAUAAACAAAUAAGAUGGAUCUCUGUUGCCAAAGGGCUCACAUAUUAAAAAGAAACCCUGCUCAUCUAGGUAAGAAAAGUAAAGUGUGCCGUCAAGACGAUUUUGACUCCUGGCACCCACAGAGACCUGUGGUUCUCUUUGGCAGACUACGGGAAGGGUUUUCCGUUGCCUCCCCCCACGCCGUAUGAGAUGAUGCCUUUCAGCAUCUUCCUAUAUCGUUGCUGCCAGAUACAUUGCCAGUGGGGAUUCGAACCGGCAACCUUCUGCUGGUUAGAUAAGCACUUCCCUGAUGCACCACUUCAGGUGACAGUACCCAAAUGGCUCCCCUUUCCCGCCCUCCACUCAGCCUCUUCGAAUGGCCCGCUUCCCGCAUGGCACUCUUUCCAUCCGAAUCGACUUCUGGCGGCCAUCCAAUCUGUACCAAUAGGUCGACUGUGAGGGGUACGGCAGGGCCUGUCCCCUCAUGGAGGAUAGAUGGCCGUGCCUGUUUGCCUGGUUAGAGGGCCUGAUGCACACGCUGCCUGAGGCAGGACCUAGCUCAUUGACGUCCAUGGCAGUCGGGGACCGGGUGGCGGAAGCUAGCUCUCCGCCGCCAAAGGGGCUGCACAGACGAUCGAAACUGGACUGAGGAAGAGCGAUGAUGAUGGAACGACUAAGAGCACACUUGAACCCCAGUCCUACCCCUGCAUCCCAAUGCUAAAUCUCACUCCAAGCCUCACGUUCAACUCAGGGGCCCCUUUGUAUAUCUCAUCCAGCUUCCCAGAACCCUCCUUAGUUGGGAUCAGCUGCAGUUCAUUAGCAAGGAGCCUGCCUGGCCUGGACACGGGAUCCCGGCAAUGAACAACACACUCACCCUAAUUGGACCCCAACAUCAGUUGUGCUGAGUGCGGAGGGCAUCGGGGAGGGAGUCUCCUUUACUGUGCUUUGCCUUUUUCAGGUGGCUGCAGUGGAGUGUUCAGAAGCGGAGGACGCAGGCCUCUUCUGGACUCUGGAAGGUUUUUCUUUCCCUGAGAGAACAGCCUCUUGUUGUUCUCUCAGGUUUUGCUUUUCUCCUUGUGGGACUGUACACACACAAAAAAGCAAAAGACACUGGCGGCUGGUGCUCCUGGUUUCUGGGACAGGCUUUGGAAAGUCGAAUCCCUGCGGUGUCCAUGCUAGCUUGCUUGCUUGCUUGCUCCCAGGCAGCUGGCCUGUCCUUCUUCUCCUCUUCAGAGCUCUGCUGCCUACGUGCCUGUCAGUUGAAGGGGGCCAGCCAGUGUUCUCUGGUGCAGAGGUUCCCCGAUAUUGUGGACUACAGAUCCCAUCAACCUCAGCUGCAAUGGCCUCUGGGUGAGUAUGAUGGGCCCACAGGCAAGAGGUAUGUGCAUGCCCUCUCUCCAGGCUUUUGUACGUCAUUCCUCUCAGUUUUUGCCAGUGCGGUGGUAGUUAGAAGUGCACCACUUGAAAUCUUUCCAUGCUGAAACGUUGUUCUCCAAUGUCUCCAACACAUCCCACCGCUUUGGAUUUCCAGUUGGAGAGUUAGGGGGCCAUUCCAGGCUGUUGCCAGUGGUUCUCCUUCUCCAGCCUAUUAUGGGCAGUGAAGUGGCUAAUAGAAGUACAGGAAAUGAAACAUUUCAGUGCUGAAAGACUGUUCUUUGGUAUCCGCAGCACAUUCCACAGUUUGGGGCUUGCAGUUUGAGUUGGGGGUCCCUUCUGUUGUUCCAGGGUCCAUUUUUGACAAUGAAGGGAACACUAAUUUGGACUAUUGGAAAUAUUUCUGUGCUGAAAUAUUGUCCUGCAGCGUCUCCAGCACAUCCCUCUGUUUUGGGGAUGCAGUGUGACAGUUGGUGGGAGAAGUUUCAGACUGCCUUUCAUCACAAAGGAAUUGUGAUGCAUUCCUGCCUAGCAUUCUGGUUAAGAUAUGUGUUGCUCCCAUUGCUCAGAUGGGCCGUGGGCCUGAUCCAAUAGGGAUGGGGAGCCAGCCACGCUCCCUAGCAAUGCUCCCCCAGCAACACCCUGCAACAUUGGCCCAUCCCCCAAUACUUUAAUCCUGGGGGCGGAGACCGGAGAUGAUUGAUGGCUCACCUUAUCUCAUUAGCCCAUCCCAGAUUUACCCAUUCUUACGUUCAGCUCAGUAAGGAAAGGAAAGUGUGCCGUCUGGUCGAUUUCGACUCCUGGCACCCACAGAGCCCUGUGGCUGUCUUUGGUAGAAUACGGGAAGGGUUUUCCGUUGCCUCCCCCCACGCAGUAUGAGAUGAUGCCUUUCAGCAUCUUCCUACAUCGCUGAUGCCUGAUACAGUGCCAGCGGGGAUUCGAACCGGCAACCUUCUGCUGGUUAGUCAAGCAUUUCCCUGCUGCAUCACUUAAGGUGACAGUACCCAAACGGCUCCCCUUUCCCGCCCUCCACUCAGCCUCUUCGAAUGGCCCGCUUCCCGCAUGGCACUCUUUCCAUCCGAAUCGACUUCUGGCGGCCAUCCAAUCUGUACCAAUAGGUCGACUGUGAGGGGUACGGCAGGGCCUGUCCCCUCAUGGAGGAUAGAUGGCCGUGCCUGUUUGCCUGGUUAGAGGGCCUGAUGCACACGCUGCCUGAGGCAGGACCUAGCUCAUUGACGUCCAUGGCAGUCGGGGACCGGGUGGCGGAAGCUAGCUCUCCGCCGCCAAAGGGGCUGCACAGACGAUCGAAACUGGACUGAGGAAGAGCGAUGAGGAUGGAACGACUAAGAGCACACUUGAACCCCAGUCCUACCCCUGCAUCCCAAUGCUAAAUCUCACUCCAAGCCUCACGUUCAACUCAGGGGCCCCUUUCUAAAUCUCAUCCAGCUUCCCAGAACCCUCCUUAGUUAGGAUCAGCUGCAGUUCAUUAGCAAGGAGCCUGCCUGGCCUGGACACGGGAUCCCGGCAAUGAACAACACACUCACCCUAAUUGGACCCCAACAUCAGUUGUGCUGAGUGCGGAGGGCAUCGGGGAGGGAGUCUCCUUUACUGUGCUUUGCCUUUUUCAGGUGGCUGCAGUGGAGUGUUCAGAAGCGGAGGACGCAGGCCUCUUCUGGACUCUGGAAGGUUUUUCUUUCCCUGAGAGAACAGCCUCUUGUUGUUCUCUCAGGUUUUGCUUUUCUCCUUGUGGGACUGUACACACACAAAAAAGCAAAAGACACUGGCGGCUGGUGCUCCUGGUUUCUGGGACAGGCUUUGGAAAAUCGAAUCCCUGCGGUGUCCAUGCUAGCUUGCUUGCUUGCUUGCUCCCAGGCAGCUGGCCUGUCCUUCUUCUCCUCUUCAGAGCUCUGCUGCCUACGUGCCUGUCAGUUGAAGGGGGCCAGCCAGUGUUCUCUGGUGCAGAGGUUCCCCGAUAUUGUGGACUACAGAUCCCAUCAACCUCAGCUGCAAUGGCCUCUGGGUGAGUAUGAUGGGCCCACAGGCAAGAGGUAUGUGCAUGCCCUCUCUCCAGGCUUUUGUACGUCAUUCCUCUCAGUUUUUGCCAGUGAGGUGGUAGUUAGAAGUGCACCACUUGAAAUCUUUCCAUGCUGAAACGUUGUUCUCCAAUGUCUCCAACACAUCCCACUGCUUUGGAUUUCCAGUUGGAGAGUUAGGGGGCCAUUCCAGGCUGUUGCCAGUGGUUCUCCUUCUCCAGCCUAUUAUGGGCAGUGAAGUGGCUAAUAGAAGUACAGGAAAUGAAACAUUUCAGUGCUGAAAGACUGUUCUUUGGUAUCCGCAGCACAUUCCACAGUUUGGGGCUUGCAGUUUGAGUUGGGGGUCCCUUCUGUUGUUCCAGGGUCCAUUUUUGACAAUGAAGGGAACACUAAUUUGGACUAUUGGAAAUAUUUCUGUGCUGAAAUAUUGUCCUGCAGCGUCUCCAGCACAUCCCUCUGUUUUGGGGAUGCAGUGUGACAGUUGGUGGGAGAAGUUUCAGACUGCCUUUCAUCACAAAGGAAUUGUGAUGCAUUCCUGCCUAGCAUUCUGGUUAAGAUAUGUGUUGCUCCCACUGCUCAGAUGGGCCGUGGGCCUGAUCCAAUAGGGAUGGGGAGCCAGCCACGCUCCCUAGCAAUGCUCCCCCAGCAACACCCUGCAACAUUGGCCCAUCCCCCAAUACUUUAAUCCUGGGGGCGGAGACCGGAGAUGAUUGAUGGCUCACCUUAUCUCAUUAGCCCAUCCCAGAUUUACCCAUUCUUACGUUCAGCUCAGUAAGGAAAGGAAAGUGUGCCGUCUGGUCGAUUUCGACUCCUGGCACCCACAGAGCCCUGUGGCUGUCUUUGGUAGAAUACGGGAAGGGUUUUCCGUUGCCUCCCCCCACGCAGUAUGAGAUGAUGCCUUUCAGCAUCUUCCUACAUCGCUGAUGCCUGAUACAGUGCCAGCGGGGAUUCGAACCGGCAACCUUCUGCUGGUUAGUCAAGCAUUUCCCUGCUGCAUCACUUAAGGUGACAGUACCCAAACGGCUCCCCUUUCCCGCCCUCCACUCAGCCUCUUCGAAUGGCCCGCUUCCCGCAUGGCACUCUUUCCAUCCAAAUCGACUUCUGGCGGCCAUCCAAUCUGUACCAAUAGGUCGACUGUGAGGGGUACGGCAGGGCCUGUCCCCUCAUGGAGGAUAGAUGGCCGUGCCUGUUUGCCUGGUUAGAGGGCCUGAUGCACACGCUGCCUGAGGCAGGACCUAGCUCAUUGACGUCCAUGGCAGUCGGGGACCGGGUGGCGGAAGCUAGCUCUCCGCCGCCAAAGGGGCUGCACAGACGAUCGAAACUGGACUGAGGAAGAGCGAUGAGGAUGGAACGACUAAGAGCACACUUGAACCCCAGUCCUACCCCUGCAUCCCAAUGCUAAAUCUCACUCCAAGCCUCACGUUCAACUCAGGGGCCCCUUUCUAAAUCUCAUCCAGCUUCCCAGAACCCUCCUUAGUUAGGAUCAGCUGCAGUUCAUUAGCAAGGAGCCUGCCUGGCCUGGACACGGGAUCCCGGCAAUGAACAACACACUCACCCUAAUUGGACCCCAACAUCAGUUGUGCUGAGUGCGGAGGGCAUCGGGGAGGGAGUCUCCUUUACUGUGCUUUGCCUUUUUCAGGUGGCUGCAGUGGAGUGUUCAGAAGCGGAGGACGCAGGCCUCUUCUGGACUCUGGAAGGUUUUUCUUUCCCUGAGAGAACAGCCUCUUGUUGUUCUCUCAGGUUUUGCUUUUCUCCUUGUGGGACUGUACACACACAAAAAAGCAAAAGACACUGGCGGCUGGUGCUCCUGGUUUCUGGGACAGGCUUUGGAAAAUCGAAUCCCUGCGGUGUCCAUGCUAGCUUGCUUGCUUGCUUGCUCCCAGGCAGCUGGCCUGUCCUUCUUCUCCUCUUCAGAGCUCUGCUGCCUACGUGCCUGUCAGUUGAAGGGGGCCAGCCAGUGUUCUCUGGUGCAGAGGUUCCCCGAUAUUGUGGACUACAGAUCCCAUCAACCUCAGCUGCAAUGGCCUCUGGGUGAGUAUGAUGGGCCCACAGGCAAGAGGUAUGUGCAUGCCCUCUCUCCAGGCUUUUGUACGUCAUUCCUCUCAGUUUUUGCCAGUGAGGUGGUAGUUAGAAGUGCACCACUUGAAAUCUUUCCAUGCUGAAACGUUGUUCUCCAAUGUCUCCAACACAUCCCACUGCUUUGGAUUUCCAGUUGGAGAGUUAGGGGGCCAUUCCAGGCUAUUGCCAGUGGUUCUCCUUCUCCAGCCUAUUAUGGGCAGUGAAGUGGCUAAUAGAAGUACAGGAAAUGAAACAUUUCAGUGCUGAAAGACUGUUCUUUGGUAUCCGCAGCACAUUCCACAGUUUGGGGCUUGCAGUUUGAGUUGGGGGUCCCUUCUGUUGUUCCAGGGUCCAUUUUUGACAAUGAAGGGAACACUAAUUUGGACUAUUGGAAAUAUUUCUGUGCUGAAAUAUUGUCCUCUAACGUCUCCAGCACAUCCCUCUGUUUUGGGGAUGCAGUGUGACAGUUGGUGGGAGAAGUUUCAGACUGCCUUUCAUCACAAAGGAAUUGUGAUGCAUUCCUGCCUAGCAUUCUGGUUAAGAUAUGUGUUGCUCCCAUUGCUCAGAUGGGCCGUGGGCCUGAUCCAAUAGGGAUGGGGAGCCAGCCACGCUCCCUAGCAAUGCUCCCCCAGCAACACCCUGCAACAUUGGCCCAUCCCCCAAUACUUUAAUCCUGGGGGCGGAGACCGGAGAUGAUUGAUGGCUCACCUUAUCUCAUUAGCCCAUCCCAGACAUGCCCAUUCUUAUGUAAAGCUCAGUAAGUAAUGUAAAGUGUGCCGUCAGGUCGAUUUCGACUCCUGGCACCCAGAGAGCCCUGUGGUUGUCUUUGGUAGAAUAUGGUAAGGGUUUUCCGUUGCCUCCCCCCACGCAGUAUGAGAUGAUGCCUUUCAGCAUCUUCCUAUAUCGCUGCUGCCUGAUACAGUGCCAGCGGGGAUUCGAACCGGCAACCUUCUGCUGGUUAGUCAAGCAUUUCCCUGCUGCAUCACUUAAGGUGACAUUACACUAACCUUAACCCUAACCGGCUCCCCUUUCCCGCCCUCCACUCAUCCUCUUCGAAUGGCCCGCUUCCCUCAUGGCACUCUUUCCAUCCGAAUCGACUUCUGGUGGCCAUCCAAUCUGUACCAAUAGGUCGACUGUGAGGGGUACGGCAGGGCCUGUCCCCUCACGGAGGAUAGAUGGCUGUGCCUGUUUGCCUGGUUAGAGGGCCUGAUGCACACGCUGCCUGAGGCAGGACCUAGCUCAUUGACGUCCAUGGCAGUCGGGGACCGGGUGGCGGAAGCUAGCUCUCCGCCGCCAAAGGGGCUGCACAGACGAUCGAAACUGGACUGAGGAAGAGCGAUGAGGAUGGAAUGACUAAGGCCACACUUGAACCCCAGUCCUACCCCUGCAUCCCAAUGCUAAAUCUCACUCCAAGCCUCGGGUUCAACUCAGGGGGCCCUUUCUAAAUCUCAUCCAGCUUCCCAGAACCCUCCUUAGUUAGGAUCAGCUACAAUUCAUUAGCAAGGAGCCUGCCUGGCCUGGACACGGGAUCCCGGCAAUGAACAACACACUCACCCUAAUUGGACCCCAACAUCAGUUGUGCUGAUUGCGGAGGGUAUCGGGGAGGGAGUCUCCUUCACUGUGCUCAAGACUUUUUCAGGUGGCUGCAGUGGAGUGGUCAGAAGCGGAGGACGCAGGCCUCUUCUGGACUCUGGAAGGUUUUUCUUUUCCUGAGAGAACAGCCUCUUGUUGUUCUCUCAGGUUUUGCUUUUAGCCUUGUGGGACUGUACACACCAAAAAAGCAAAAGACACUGGCUGCUGUUGAUCCUGGUUUCUGGGACAGGCGUCAGAAAUUGGAAUCCCUGCGGUGUCCAUGCUAGCUUGCUUGCUUGCUCCCAGGCAGCUGGCCUGUCCUUCUCCACUUCAGAGAUCUGCUGCCUACGUGCCUGUCAGGUGAAGGGGGCCAGCCAGUGUUCUCUGGAGCAGAGGUUCCCCGAUAUUGUGGACUACAGAUCCCAUCAACCUCAGCUGCAAUGGCCUUUGGCUGAGGAGGAUGGGCCCACAGGCAAGAGGUAAGUGCAUGCCCUCUCUCCGGGCUGUUGUACGUGAUUCCACUCUGUUUUUGCAAGUGAAGUGGUAGUUAGAAGUGCACCACUGGAAAUCUUUCCAUGCUAAAACAUUGUUCUCCAGUAUCUGCAACACAUCCCACUGCUUUGGAUUUCCAGUUGGAGAGUUAGGGGGCCAUUCCAGGCUGUUGCUGGUGGUUCUCCUUCUCCAGCCUAUUAUGGGCAGUGAAGUGGCUAAUAGAAGUACAAGAAUGGAAACAUUUCAGUGCUGAAAGACUGUUCUUUGGUAUCCGCAGAACAUCCCAGUUUGGGGCUUUCAAUUUGAGUUGGGGGUCCCUUCUGGAGUUCCAGGGUCCAUUUUUGACAAUGAAGGGUACACUAUUUUUGACAAAAGUACACUAUUGGAAAUAUUUCUGUGCUGAAAUAUUGUCCUCCAGCGUCUCCAGCACAUCCCUCUGUUUUGGGGAUGCAGUGUGACAGUUGGUGGGCGGAGUUUCAGACUGCAUUUCAUCAUAAAGGAAUUGUGAUGCAUUCCUGCCUAGCAUUCUGGUUAAGAUAUGUGUUGCUCCCAUUGCUCAGAUGGGCCUUGGGCCUGAUCCGACAGGGAUGGGGAGCCAGCCACCCUCCCCAGCAAUGCUCCCCCAGCAACACCCAGCAACAUUGCCCCAUCCCCUAUAUUUUAAUCCUGGGGGCGGAGACCGGAGAUGAUUGAUGGCUCUCCUUAGCUCAGUAGCCCAUCCCAGAUGAUGUUGUUAUUAUUAUUAUUAUUAUUAUUUCAGUAUCUAUACCGCCCUUGCAAAAAUGGCUCAGGGCGGUUUACACAGGGAAAUAAGGAAAUAAGAUGGAUCUCUGUCACCAAAGGGCUCACAUUCUAAAAAGAAACCCAGCUCAGCUCAGUAAGUAAAGUAAAGUGUGCCGUCAAGUCGAUUUCUACUCCUGGCACCCACAGAGCCCUGUGGUUCUCUUUGGUAGAAUACGGGAAGGGUUUUCCAUUGCCUCCCCCCACGCAGUAUGAGAUGUUGCCUUUCAGCAUCUUCCUAUAUCGCUGCUGCCCGAUACAGUGCUAGCGGGGAUUCGAACCGGCAACCUUCUGCUGGUUAGUCAAGCAUUUCCAUGCAGCACCACUUAAGCUGACAGUACCCUGACCUUAACCCUAACCGGCUCCCCUGUCCCGCCCUCCACUCAGCCUCUUCGAAUGGCCCGCUUCCCUCAUGGCACUCUUUCCAUCCAAAUCGACUUCUGGCGGUCAUCCAAUCUGUACCAAUAGGUCGACUGUGAGGGGUACGGCAGGGCCUGUCCCCUCAUGGAGGAUAGAUGGCCGUGCCUGUUUGCCUGGUUAGAGGGCCUGAUGCACACGCUGCCUGAGGCAGGACCUAGCUCAUUGACGUCCAUGGCAGUCGGGGACCGGGUGGCGGAAGCUAGCUCUCCACCACCAAAGGGGCUGCACAGACGAUCGAAACUGGACUGAGGAAGAGAGAUGAGGAUGGAAAGACUAAGGCCACACUUGAACCCCAGCCCUACCCCUGCAUUCCGAUGCUAAAUCUCACUCCAAGCCUCAGGUUCAACUCAGGGGCCCCUUUCUAAAUCUCAUCCAGCUUCCCAGAACCCUCCUUAGUUAGGAUCAGCUGCAGUUCAUUAGCAGGGAGUGUGCCUGGCCUGGACUCAGGAUCUGGGCUCACAACAACACACUCGAAUUGGACCCCAACAUCAGUUGUGCUGAGUGCGGAGGGCAUCGGGGAGGUAGUCUCCUUCACUGUGCUUAGCCUUUUUCAGGUGGCUGCAGUGGAGUGUUCAGAAGUGGAGGACUCGGGCCUCUUCUGUGCUCCAGAAGGUUUUUCUUUUCCUGAGAGAACAGCCUCUUGUUGUUCUCUCAGGUUUUGUUUUCGUCUUGCGGGACUGCACACACACAAAAAAGCAAAAGACACUGGCGACCGGAGCUCCGGGUUUUUGGGACAGGCGUCGGAAAUUGGAAUCCCUGCAGUGUCCAUGCUAGCUUGCUUGCUUGCUCCCAGGCAGCUGGCCUGUCCUCCUUCUCCUCUUCAGAGCUCUGCAGCCUACGUGCUUGUCAGUUGAAUGGGGCCAGCCAGUGUUCUCUGGUGCAGAGGUUCCCCGAUAUUGUGGACUACAGAUCCCAUCAACCUCUGCUGCAAUGGCCUUUGGCUGAAGAUGAUGGGCCCACAGGCAAGAGGUAUAUGCAUGCCCUCUCUCCAGGCUUUUGCACGUCAUUCCUCUCUGUUUUUGCCAGUGAAGUGGUUGUUAGAAGUGCACCACUCAAAAUCUUUCCGUACUGAAACAUUGUUCUCCAAUGUCUGCAAUACAUGCCACUGCUUUGGAUUUCCAGCUGGAGAGUUAGGGGGCCAUUCCAGGCUAUUGCCAGUGGUUCUCCUUCUCCAGCCUAUUAUGGGCAGUGAAGUGGCUAAUAGAAGUACAAGAAUGGAAACAUUUCAGUGCUGAAAGACUGUUCUUUGGUAUCCGCAGCACAUCCCAUAGUUUGGGGCUUGCAGUUUGAGUUAGAGGGUCCCUUCUGGUGUUCCAGGGUCCAUUUUUGACAAUGAAGGGUACACUAUUUUUGACAAAAGUACACUAUUGGAAAUAUUUCUGUGCUGAAAUAUUGUCCUCCAACGUCUCCAGCACAUCCCUCUUUUUUGGGGGGAUGUAGUGUGACAGUUGGUGGGCGGAGUUUCAGACUGCUUUUCAUCAUAAAGGAAUUGUGAUGCAUUCCUGCCUAGCAUUCUGGUUAAGAUAUGUGUUGAUCCCAUUGCUCAGAUGGGCCUUGGGCCUGAUCCAACAGGGAUGGAAAACCAACCACGCUCCCCAGCAAUGCUCCCCCAGCAACACCCUGCAACAAUUCCCCAUCCCUCAAUACUUUAAUCCUGGGGCCGGAGACCGGAAAUGAUUGAUGGCUCACCUUAUCUCAUUAGCCCAUCCCAGAUGUUGUUGUUGUUGUUAUUGUUGUUGUUGUUAUUAUUAUUAUUAUUAUUAUUAUUAUUAUUAUUAUUAUUAUUAUUUCAUUUUCUAUACCGCACUUCCAAAAAUGGCUCGGAGAGGUUUACACAGAGAAAUAAACAAGAUAGAUCUCUGUCACCAAAGGGCUCACAUUGUAAAAAGAAACCCAGCUCAGCUCAGUAAGUAAAGUGUGCUGUCAAGUCAAUUUCUACUCCUGGCACCCACAGAGCCCUGUGGUUGUCUUUGGUAGAAUACAGGAAGGGUUUUCCGUUGCCUCCCCCCACGCAGUAUGAAAUGCUGCCUUUCAGCAUCUUCCUAUAUCGCUGCUGCCCAAUACAGUGCCAGCGGGGAUUCGAACCGGCAACCUUCUGCUGGUUAGUCAAGCAUUUCCCUGAUGCACCACUUCAGGUGACACUACUCUGACCUUAACCCUAACCGGCUCCCCUGUCCCGCCCUCCACUCAGCCUCUUCGAAUGGCCCGCUUCCCUCAUGGCACUCUUUCCAUCCGAAUCGACUUCUGGCGGCCAUCCAAUCUGUACCAAUAGGUCGACUGUGAGGGGUACGGCAGGGCCUGUCCCCUCAUGGAGGAUAGAUGGCCGUGCCUGUUUGCCUGGUUAGAGGGCCUGAUGCACACGCUGCCUGAGGCAGGACCUAGCUCAUUGACGUCCAUGGCAGUCGGGGACCGGGUGGCGGAAGCUAGCUCUCCGCCACCAAAGGCGCUGCAGAGACGAUCGAAACUGGACUGAGGAAGAGCGAUGACGAUGGAACGACUAAGGCCACACUUGAACCCCAGCCCUACCCCUGCAUCCCAAUGCUAAAUCUCACUCCAAGCCUCAGGUUGAACUCAGGUGCCCCUUUCUAAAUUUCAUCCAGCUUCCCAGAACCCUCCUUAGUUAGGAGCAGCUGCAGUUCAUUAGCAGGGAGCCUGGCUGGCCUGGACACGGGAUCCCGGCUCUGAACAACACACUCACUCUAAUUGGACCCCAACUUCACUAGUGCUGAGUGCGGAGGGCAUCAGGGAGGGAGUCUCCUUCACUGUGCUUAGCCCUUUCCAGGUGGCUGCAGUGGAGUGGUCAGAAGCAAGCGGAGGACGCAGGCCUCUUCUGGACUCUGGAAGGUUUUUCUUUUCCUGAGAGAACAGCCUCUUGUUGUUCUCUCGGGUUUUGCUUUCCGCCUUGUGGGACUGCACAAACACACAAAAGCAAAAGACACUGGUGGUUGGCACUCCUGGUUUCUGGGACAGGCUUUGGAAAUUCAAAUCCCUGCGUUGUCCAUGCUAGCUUGCUUGCUUGCUCCCAGUCAGCUGGCCUGUCCUCCUUCUCCUCUUCAGAGCUCUGCUGCCUACGUGCCUGUCAGGUGAAAGGAGCCAGCCAGUGUUCUCUGGAGAAGAGGUUCCUUGAUUUUGUGGAGUACAGAUCGCAUCAACCUCAGCCGCAAUGGCCUUUGGCUGAGAUGAUUGGAGUUGCAGUCAACAACAUCUGGGAAUCCCUGUGUGACAGGGAACACUGCUGAAGGCUCUUUCUUUGCUGGGCUUUCCGGGAACCAAUUGCCAUCAGCGGUAAUCAUGUGGUGGCUGGACAGAACCGCCGAUCUCGGAGGGACCGUCUGCACAGGAAACUGCUCCAGCAUCCCUGACAUCUUCCUGAACCAGGAAACAUGAGGGUCGGGAACUGGCUUCCCCGUGGCUUUUAAUCCCCAACAGCAUCACUAUGCCACAAGGACUCUUUUGUGGAGCACCGCUGGCGUGGGGGUGUUGUGUUUGCUCCCACUUGUCCCUGGCCAUCCAUUAGCAGCCAUGACACGUGUCCCCCACACACACAAUGCUGUGUGACUCUGGUGUAGCAACAUGAAGCCAGUUCCAGAGCAGUGAGGGCAUGGUGGGGGCAUCUAUGCUCCACUGAUCAUCCAGACUUCCCCCUUCUUCCAGGGAGAAGAGACCACUGACUGUGGAGUCUGCUAGUUUAACUGGAGGGGGAUGAAGUGCUGUGCUCCAGGUACAGUCCCAAGUGGGCACUCGUGGUGGCCUGAGGCUGCGGUGGAGCUUAUGGCAUUGAUGGGCAAGAAUCCAAUGGCUGCUGCAUGGUCUGCACCAGCUGCUGUCCCAGUUCCAACCCAUGGAGAAAACUGCUCCCAGAAGCUUGGACCAAAAACCAGUCGCUGCUCAGGCUAUUCAAGAGAGCACCUCCUUUGUCGUGAACCCUGCUGCCUGUUACGAUCUUCUGGAAUGGUCCCUCUACUGUUGCCACCAGCUUUUUUGGUGAUGGCCCAGGACCGGGCUUUCUCUGUGGCUGCCCCAGGGAUUUGGAAUAUGCUCCCUGCUGAAAUAAGAGCAUCUCCUUCUUUGUUUGUUUUCAGGAAGACCCUCAAGACGCUCCUGUUCUCGCAAGCUUUUUAUUAUAAUUAAUUUUAAUAAUUUUAAUAAUUUGUUUUAAUGAUGAUUCUUUUUAUUGUGU